GAUGAACGCUGGCGGCGUGCCUAAUACAUGCAAGUUGAGCGAACAGACGAGGAGCUUGCUCCUCUGACGUUAGCGGCGGACGGGUGAGUAACACGUGAAUAACCUACCUAUAAGACUGGGAUAACUUCGGGAAACCGGAGCUAAUACCGGAUAAUAUAUUGAACCGCAUGGUUCAAUAGUGAAAGACGGUUUUGCUGUCACUUAUAGAUGGAUCCGCGCCGCAUUAGCUAGUUGGUAAGGUAACGGCUUACCAAGGCAACGAUGCGUAGCCGACCUGAGAGGGUGAUCGGCCACACUGGAACUGAGACACGGUCCAGACUCCUACGGGAGGCAGCAGUAGGGAAUCUUCCGCAAUGGGCGAAAGCCUGACGGAGCAACGCCGCGUGAGUGAUGAAGGUCUUCGGAUCGUAAAACUCUGUUAUUAGGGAAGAACAAAUGUGUAAGUAACUAUGCACGUCUUGACGGUACCUAAUCAGAAAGCCACGGCUAACUACGUG
Molecule: ribosomal RNA, 497 nt
Filed under: uncultured bacterium
Lineage: Bacteria
Description: partial 16S ribosomal RNA
Rfam family: Bacterial small subunit ribosomal RNA
Source: RNAcentral